UCACGAAGACUGUGUUCCUUUCAGUCCCUGCAUAGACACGCUGUAGGUCUCUGGCACACUAGAAAAUCAAAGACUUGGGAAGAAGCCUGGAUUUAGGACUGGCACAGCAUUGUCUUGGAUUGUGUACAAAAUUGGGGGAAGAUAUAGUCCCUGCCGUGCAGACUUAAACCUACUUUGAGACAGACCUAGCAUGUAAGGAGUUUGACAGCCAAUAAGAAGAAAGGGAGAACCAGGGCACAGGACAUACAGGGCAGAAAUCACAGGAACUGAAGGACCAAGGACACCAAUGGAACCACAGGAACUCAAGAUGCAAUGAGGAACGGCGAGACACAGGAACCAGGAACAGGUCAUUGAUAAAAAUGUUCAAUGGCUUGGAGCCAAGAAGUGAUCCUGGAGGGACCCUUCUGGAAAUAGACCCACUCAAUUAUGAUUCCCCAUUUACAAUUCCUUUUCAGGAUCUGGGUCCAUGUACCGUGAGUGCAAAGUGUGGAUGUUCCUUUUAAUGUUAUCCUGUUCCAGCUGACUAUUGACUCCUGUCUUGUGACUGUGGACUCUGGCUCUGACUACUAGAUGUGGCUACCUACAACCUUGCCUUGACACUACAUCAGUGUGAAGGAUCCACCAAGCCCCCUGUCCUGCUUGGAAGGGAACUGUGCCACGGAUGGUGCGAGGUCACCAUGUACCUUUUCUGGCUGCAGUGGGCACUACUCUUCACUCUGGAGUGUUGUGAGGCCAAGCCCGCAAGGUGCUGCUCCUCAUGGAAAGAAAUUUCAAAAUGUCGGUUUCCCGCUGGAUGAAAAUUCUGUUUCCUGAUCAGCGGUCAUCACGAGAUUUUUCAACCCUUCUCUACAAAAUCUGUCUUGGUAUGUUGAACAUACAUUGAAAUUGUCAAGGCAUCUGUAUUUAAGAAGGGAUCAUGGCACAAAUGAAAAGCAACUAUUGCAUGUUGAUAUUUAGCUUUCUCCCCAUUCCAUCCUGCAGGCCCAAGAGUUAUUCUUAGGUAUGAAUUGAUAUGCAUUACGUGUGUAUUUUGAAAAAUCUGCUACGUGAUCUGGAAACAGCAAGGCAGAAUUUCCAAGAUGGCACAUACUAGGGCCUGCACACUGCAAUUAGAUCCAUGCGGGCAGACCCUUCAUGUCAAUCUGCACAGCGGUAAGGGUCUACCUGUACUGAUCCAACUGCAAGAGGAGUGUGACAUUCAGGGGAAUCUUGUGAAUUUGGGAAGAUAGUAUGAAGUUGUUCUUAUGAAAAACUGCUGUUCUACAAAAUGCUUCUGUCUAUCCAUUGUAACUGUCAAGACUUUAAGCACAUCCCUCCCAGACUAGAUACAAUGGACUGUAGUUAACCUUUACUGUACUCUGACUAGUCAAGAGGUAUGCUAAAGAGGUUGUAUGCUUUUGAGGGGGGCUGGUUUAGCUGCAGGACUAACGAAGGUCAGAAAAAGCAAACGGGGCUCCAGGAUUGAAGAGACAAAACAAGGGCUGUUGCAGAAAGACCAUGAAUGGCCUGGAGGACUUUCAGCCCAGCCCAAAGAAUGCUUUGGAGUGGUGAGGAAACUGAGGUAGGGAAAUGCAUGCAGGGUUUAUUAUUUUUGUAUAUAUCUGUGUAUUUCUUGUAAUAUUAAAGAGCACUGGUGGCUUAGAAUCCUGUGCAGUCUGUCGCAUCUGUCAUGCCCUUGAAGAGUUAAUGUCA
This is a long non-coding RNA of Mauremys reevesii (Reeves's turtle), 1692 nucleotides long. RefSeq lists it as uncharacterized. The record is from RefSeq and is a predicted model, not a curated record. NCBI's taxonomy places the organism in Eukaryota, Metazoa, Chordata, Testudines, Geoemydidae. The transcript is spliced from 6 exons.